This is a long non-coding RNA of Sus scrofa (pig), 646 nucleotides long. RefSeq lists it as uncharacterized. The record is from RefSeq and is a predicted model, not a curated record. NCBI's taxonomy places the organism in Eukaryota, Metazoa, Chordata, Mammalia, Artiodactyla, Suidae.
UGCAGCGCAGGAACACCGUCUUCUCCUGGUAGAAGUUGCCUCGAACAUCGCUCACGGUCUGGUGCACCGUCAGCACGGGCUCAUCCAGAUUCACAGAGAUUUUCUUUUAAUCGGAUGCCUGGCAGAGCUCACUGAUCGAGCAGAAGUCAGAAGAGUGACCGCCUCUAAGGAGAUUAUUGAUUGAGAGGGCGCAUGAAGGAAAUUUCUAGGGCCCUUUCUGAGGAACCCUCAUCACCUGGAUGGUGUUUACACAUGUACAUAUAUAUCUCACUCUCCUGGAUCACUUGCUCUGGAGAAAGCCAGCUGUCAUGUCAUGAACAGCCCUGUGGAGAGACCCGCCAGGGCAGAAAAGAAGCCUCAAGCCAACAGCCAUGGAAGUUAGCUCAGAAGUGGACCCUUGGGCUCCAGAGAGUCCUCCAAUUUCUGCAGCCUCCUGAGAGACCCCGAGCCAGAGCAGCCCUUAAGCUGCUCCAGGAUUCCUGUCCUACAGGAACUGUGAGACAAUAAGUGUUUGGUGUUUUAAGCCCCUAAAUUUUGGAGCAAUUGUUAUGCAGCCAUAGAUAACUACAAUUACAUAGGAGUUCCGUCAUGGCUCAGCGAUAAUGAACCUGACUAGUAUCCAUGAGGAUACAGGUUCAAUCCCUGG